This 432-nucleotide ribosomal RNA is filed under the name uncultured bacterium. RNAcentral describes it as "bacterial SSU rRNA". It matches the Rfam family "Bacterial small subunit ribosomal RNA", at positions 917 to 1350 of the family's 1533-position model. The record is from RNAcentral.
GGGCCCGCACAAGCGGUGGAGUAUGUGGUUUAAUUCGAUGCAACGCGAAGAACCUUACCAGGGUUUGACAUCCUGCGAAUCUCUUGGAAACGAGAGAGUGCCUUCGGGAACGCAGUGACAGGUGGUGCAUGGCUGUCGUCAGCUCGUGUCGUGAGAUGUUGGGUUAAGUCCCGCAACGAGCGCAACCCACGUCGUUAGUUGCCAGCAUUUAGUUGGGCACUCUAGCGAGACCGCCGGUGAUAAACCGGAGGAAGGUGUGGAUGACGUCAAGUCAUCAUGCCCCUUACAUCCUGGGCUACACACGUACUACAAUGCUACGGACAAAGAGCAGCAAGUUCGCGAGGACAAGCAAAUCUCAUAAACCGUGGCUCAGUUCAGAUCGUAGGCUGCAACUCGCCUACGUGAAGGCGGAAUCGCUAGUAAUCGCAGGUC